This 1608-nucleotide ribosomal RNA is filed under the name Triticum aestivum (bread wheat). RNAcentral describes it as "partial small subunit ribosomal RNA". The record is from RNAcentral. Lineage: Eukaryota; Viridiplantae; Streptophyta; Magnoliopsida; Poales; Poaceae.
AUGCCUCUCAACCGCCGGAGACGGCGCUCCCCGCGACGGAUGGCCCCGGAGACAAGGAGGGGAGGAGGAGGAGGAGAAAUGUCGCAUCUGCUGCUUCCCGGCCGAGGCGGACCGACCCCUGCGCCUGCCGCGGCAGCAUCAGGUUCGUCCAUGACGACUGCCAGCUCCGGUGGCUCGCCACCCGCCAGCGACCCUGCUGUGAGGCCAAGUUCUUCUACCACUCCACCUCUCAUCGAGAACGACGACGACAUGUCAUCAUUCGUCACCAAGAACCACCUAUUUGGAGCUCAAAAGGCAUUGCACCAAGAGCAACAAGCAAUGAGGGACUACUUCGACAACAAAUGCGACGCUCAAAAGCAAGAGAAUGAUGCAAGAAUGGAUGAGAUCCGCGCCUUCAUGAGGAACCGGUGUCCUUCCACUUCUUCAUCCUCAAGACGGAGCCGCUCGAGUCGACACUCCAACGACACCUUCUCCGACUCAAGUACACCGUCAUCGAACACUCUUCGUCGAGCUGCGCGUCAAGACCGGCAUGCAUCUCGGAACCCGCUACAUGACAAGCAUUCACAAGAACAAGUCGAUGAGCAAAUCCCUCGUCCUCAAUCAAACCAAGUCGUUUUUGCUCAAGCUCAAGAAAGGCAACGACUAAGGCGCCAAGAAGAAGAACGAGCACGUUUACACCAAGAGAAACAAGACGCCGAGACUCAACGUCUUCAACAACAACAACGUGAAGCGCAAGCUCUUGAGGCGCAACGUGCCCUUCGAGAUUCGAGCCGAGCCAUUGCCAACCGCAAUCAUGAGCGGCACAAUCAAGAGGAAGCCCUUCGAGAAGAAAUCCAAGAGAGGAACUACCAACCGCGUGUGCAACGUCAAUAUCCACAAGGUCCUCCUCAAGCUCGUCAAGCUCCACCUCAACCUCAAGUUCAACAAGAGCAAGUUGAUCAUGGACUUCCCCCGCGCCAAGAGCAACAUGAGGAUGACUAUCCUCCACGUCAAGGACGUCACCAUCACCAUCGCCAACAACACAAUGAAGAGCAACGCUAUGGAAAGCUCAAGUUCACAAUGCCCAAGUUCAAUGGAAGCAAUGAUCCGGAAGAGUACCUCUCAUGGGCAUUGAAGGUCGACAAAAUUUUCCGCUUGCACAACUAUGAGGAAGAGAAAAAGAUCGCUAUGGCAUCAUUUGAGUUCCAAGAUUAUGUGCUCAUAUGGUGGGAACAAGUACUUGAACACCGUCAAGCAAGAGGUGAACCACCAAUCACCACUUGGGCUCAAAUGAAGGAUGUCAUGCGGGCACGCUUUGUACCAACCUACUACAACCAUGAUCUCUUCAAGAAGCUACAACUACUCAAGCAAGGAAGUAAGAGUGUUGAAGAAUACUACAAGGAAAUGGAGAUAGCCAUGAUUCGAGCCAAUGUCACAGAAGAUGAUGAGCAAACAAUGGCAUGUUUCUUGAAUGGACUCAAUCAUCCCAUCAAGAAGAUUGCCGACUUCCAACCCUAUUCCAACCUCAUUGAGCUCGUACAUCAAGCAACCAAGGCGGAACGUCAAGUGCAAUAUGACUUCAAGUACGCCAAGUACUCAUCCAAGACCUAUGGUUUCUCCAACGCCUAA